UCCUCUUGAGUUAACUUUAUGAACAGACAUACUUACUCUCACGCCUGAGCUAUCCCCCGGCGGUCCGGCCGUCAAGCUUGUGGUGUUUGUCGUGUUUACUGUGCAGGAUCAGGACGUCUUUCGUGAUUGGGACGUGGAGAAAGAUCUUGGCGUUAACAUUGGCGCUAGAAGGAGGGGUGUUUUAGUGUCUUGAGUAUUUAUCAAUCACAAUAUUUUUAGUUGUUAUACAUCGGAAGUUAUGGCACAAAUUAGGGGGUUCUCGUUCGAGAUCCCCCGGCGAAGCCCGAAGAUAGUUGGUCUUUGCUGUUGACAAAGAGCAUGAUCAUGGCCGAAGGCAAGUAAAAGGCAUCCCGCCUAGAACUCGGCACCGAAGUGGUCAGGCUGAUGAAGAUGGUGGACGAAGCAGAUAGAGCUUUGGAGGUUCUUUUGGAGCGGAGCGAGGAUGUAGCUGAGGAAUAAAGCAUUCAAUUAUGUCCAGUCUAAAAGACGUGGUACGCCUAAAGAUGGACAACCGUGAAUUGGAAAGCAGUCUAUAUACUUUAAAGACAUGUCUCGAGGCCGUCCUUGGGAUCGNNNNNNN
This 580-nucleotide long non-coding RNA is filed under the name Panax ginseng (ginseng). RNAcentral's name for it is "long non-coding RNA (PGIN_LNC009054)". Lineage: Eukaryota; Viridiplantae; Streptophyta; Magnoliopsida; Apiales; Araliaceae. The record is from RNAcentral.